This 1392-nucleotide ribosomal RNA is filed under the name human gut metagenome. Its description in RNAcentral is "bacterial LSU rRNA". It matches the Rfam family "Bacterial large subunit ribosomal RNA", at positions 883 to 2296 of the family's 2925-position model. The record is from RNAcentral.
GUCAGGAGUCUGCUGGAGGUAGAGCACUGAAUUUUUGCGGGGGCGUCAAAGCCUACCAAUGAAUAUCAAACUCCGAAUGCCAGCCAGAUGCUCUGAUGGAGUCAGACUGCACGAGAUAAGUUGGGUAGUCAAAAGGGAAACAGCCCAGACCACCAGCUAAGGUCCCAAAGUGCGUGUUAAGUGGAAAAGGAUGUGGGAAUUCGAAGACAACUAGGAUGUUGGCUCAGAAGCAGCCAUUCAUUCAAAGAGUGCGUAACAGCUCACUAGUCGAGAGUUCCUGCGCCGAAAAUGUCCGGGGCUAAAACACGACACCGAAGCUGUGGAAUCAUGCUUGCAUGAUUGGUAGAGGAGCAUUCGCUGAGAGACGAAGCUGUACCGAAAGGAGCAGUGGAUUUCAGUGAAGAGAGAAUGCCGGAAUGAGUAGCGAGAGAUAGGUGAGAAUCCUAUCGGCCGAAUAUCUAAGGUUUCCAGAGUAAAGCUGAUCUGCUCUGGGUAAGUCGGGGCCUAAGGCGAGGUCGAAAGACGUAGUCGAUGGAUAACAGGUAGAGAUUCCUGUACUUCAUGAUAUCAGAAAUGUGGGGACACAGAAGCGAAGCACAAGCCGGGAAUGGAAAGACCGGUGCAAGCUAAGGAGCAGUAUGAGAGGCAAAUCCCUCAUAUAAUGCGAAGAAGUGAAGCGUAGCGAAAUAAGGGUAGCGAAGUGUGUGGAGAGGCUGUCAGGAAAAGCCGCUAUAGUGUAUCAUGAACCCGUACCGUAAACCGACACAGGUGGAUGAGGAGAGAAUCCUAAGGCCGACGGAAGAAGCAUUGUUAAGGAAUUCGGCAAAAUGACCCCGUAACUUCGGGAGAAGGGGUGCCUGCGCAAGCAGGUCGCAGAGAAUUGGCCCAAGCAACUGUUUAGCAAAAACACAGGUUUAUGCGAAACCGAAAGGUGAAGUAUAUGAGCUGACGCCUGCCCGGUGCUGGAAGGUUAAGGGGAGUGCUUAGACUUUGGUCGAAGGUGCGAACUUAAGCCCCAGUAAACGGCGGCCGUAACUAUAACGGUCCUAAGGUAGCGAAAUUCCUUGUCGGGUAAGUUCCGACCCGCACGAAAGGCGUAAUGAUUUGGGCGCUGUCUCGACAAUGCAUCCGGUGAAAUUGAAGUACCAGUGAAGAUGCUGGUUACCCGCGCCAGGACGGAAAGACCCCAUGGAGCUUUACUCUAGUUUGAUGCUGGGAUUCGAUACUGCAUGUACAGGAUAGGCGGGAGACUGAGAAGUAGUGACGUCAGUUGCUACAGAGUCGCUGUUGGGAUACCGCCCCUGCAGUAUUGGGUUUCUAACCUGCGGCCGUAAGCCGGUCGGGGGACAACGUCAGGCGGGGAGUUUGACUGGGGCGGUCGCCUCCGAAAGG